UAGGGAAUAUUGGACAAUGGAGGAAACUCUGAUCCAGCCAUGCCGCGUGCAGGAUGAAUGCCCUAUGGGUUGUAAACUGCUUUUCUCAGGGAAGAAACCUGGAUAUUCAUAUCCAGCUGACGGUACCUGAGGAAUAAGCACCGGCUAACUCCGUGCCAGCAGCCGCGGUAAUACGGAGGGUGCAAGCGUUAUCCGGAUUCACUGGGCUUAAAGGGUGCGUAGGUGGAACGGUAAGUCAGUGGUGAAAGCUCCCCGCUCAACGGGGAAAUUGCCAUUGAUACUGUCGUUCUUGAGUACAGUUGAGGCAGGCGGAAUGGGUCAUGUAGCGGUGAAAUGCUUAGAUAUGACCCAGAACACCGAUUGCGAAGGCAGCUUGCUAAACUGUUACUGACGCUGAGGCACGAAAGCGUGGGGAGCGAACAGG
This 424-nucleotide ribosomal RNA is filed under the name uncultured bacterium. Its description in RNAcentral is "bacterial SSU rRNA". It matches the Rfam family "Bacterial small subunit ribosomal RNA", at positions 355 to 776 of the family's 1533-position model. The record is from RNAcentral.